ACAGAGGGGGCAAGCGUUGUUCGGAAUUACUGGGCGUAAAGGGCGCGUAGGCGGCCUUCUAAGUCGGACGUGAAAUCCCCGGGCUCAACCCGGGAACUGCGUCCGAGACUGGAAGGCUCGAAUCCGGGAGAGGGAUGUGGAAUUCCAGGUGUAGCGGUGAAAUGUGUAGAUAUCUGGAGGAACACCGGUGGCGAAGGCGGCAUCCUGGACCGAGAUUGUCGCUGAGGCGCGAAAGCUAGGGUAGCAAACGGGA
This 253-nucleotide ribosomal RNA is filed under the name uncultured prokaryote. Its description in RNAcentral is "partial 16S ribosomal RNA". It matches the Rfam family "Bacterial small subunit ribosomal RNA", at positions 525 to 777 of the family's 1533-position model. The record is from RNAcentral.